Long non-coding RNA from Salvia miltiorrhiza (redroot sage), 1200 nucleotides. RefSeq lists it as uncharacterized. The transcript has 4 exons. The record is from RefSeq and is a predicted model, not a curated record. NCBI's taxonomy places the organism in Eukaryota, Viridiplantae, Streptophyta, Magnoliopsida, Lamiales, Lamiaceae.
AAGUAAUUAAAAGUCCAUUCCAAUUAUCACUUAUAUAAAAUGAAAAAUUGUGCCAGCAACCCUAAUUCCUACUCCAGCGCAGCGCCGCUCUUCUUCUCCAAUCUCCAUUCUGUUUUUGCAUUUUUUCUUUCAUCUUCUUCUACCGCCUCCUGCUCCGGCGAAGGACGCCGCCCUUAGCCACCGCCACCACCACCACCGGCAUUCCCCCUUCUAUCCUUCACCGCGCACGGCGAGGUUGCACAUGCAGCGCCGCCUUAGUCUCCACACCGCCGCCGCAAUCACCAUCUCCACGCCGUCCACCAUCACCAAAAUUUCUCGUCGCUCCGACUCGCCCGGCCUCCUCCAUCCUUGGCGCCUGUGUCAAAAUCUGCGCCACCGAUCUCGCCGACUCGCUCAGUCUAUACCGUCGCUCCGAUCCGCCCGGCCUCUUCCGUCCUUGACGCUGCGUCAGAAUCUGGCCGCUGGUCUCACCGACCCCCGCCUUCUCCGUCCUUGGUGCCCCUGUUAGAAGCAGUAGCAGGGUUUGCAUUGAUAGAUUAAACCCUAAUUCCCCUUCUCCCUCGUCUGCAUCUUCAAUUCCAGAGUUUGCAUCUUCAAUUCCAGAGUGGGGCACAACAGCAGAUUCAAGAAAAAGCUCCUCCGCGCAUCGAGGCGGCCGCCUUUCGCCGACGAGGCGCGUGUACAAAAAAAUCGUAUAGAGGCGCACAUAUUGGUGUGCUUCAGCGUCUCCUUUCCUUGAGGCGCGCCUAAAGGCAUCUGCCUCCAGCGAUUUUCACAACAUUGGAUAGUUCAUGUUUUAUUUUUAGGGAAAGAUGAAAAAGGGGAUUCACCCUCAAAUGCAAUGGAUAUCGUACGUGACCCAAAGUGGUCAUCUGAUGACUGUGAUGAUGACCAAGAUUCAUGAGACUGGUAAAGUUUAUCAUUUGCGAGCAAAGCGGUAGAUGGCUCAGAACUUAGGGCAGAUCGCUAAGUUCAAGUGUAAAUAUGGGGAAAAGGAAGAGGAACCUCAAAUGGAAGGGGAACCUCAAAAGAAAUAAUUUCAUUAAGGUACUUAACGUAUUCUAGACAGCCUUGUUUUUUUGUUUAGGGACUUGGUCAUAUUGGUGUAGUAUUCUGUUUUAUUCAAGAUUAGUACUGUGCUCAACUGAUGUAUGCUCAUCAUUUUCAAUCUCUGAUCAUAAUAAAAGCUGCUUUAUGUCU